UGAUAACAAAUAAUUUCUUCUUUUAUCUCUUUAUAGGUCAGCUCUUGAUGUAUUUAUUUCUAAAUAAUGAAUUGCAAACAGUUGCAUUGAACUCGAUGGGAAAAACUACCAAUUAAAGAAAUAAAAAUAAGGGACCAUAAUUUUGGAGCAAAAU
Molecule: long non-coding RNA, 154 nt
Organism: Rhagoletis pomonella (apple maggot)
Lineage: Eukaryota; Metazoa; Arthropoda; Insecta; Diptera; Tephritidae
Exons: 2
Source: RefSeq, a predicted model, not a curated record